RNAcentral lists this transfer RNA (67 nucleotides) under Ocypus olens. Its description in RNAcentral is "tRNA-Ser". Lineage: Eukaryota; Metazoa; Arthropoda; Insecta; Coleoptera; Staphylinidae. The record is from RNAcentral.
AGUUAAUGAACUUGAUUUAAGUGUAUAUUUUGAAAAUAUAAAAUAGGGUAAAAAUCCCUAUUAACUU